CCUCGGGAGGCAGCAGUGGGGGAUAUUGCACAAUGGGGGGAACCCUGAUGCAGCGACGCCGCGUGGGCGAUGGAGUGCUUCGGCAUGUAAAGCCCUAUCAGCAGGGAAGAAAAUGACGGUACCUGACUAAGAAGCCCCGGCUAAAUACGUGCCAGCAGCCGCGGUAAUACGUAUGGGGCAAGCGUUAUCCGGAUUUACUGGGUGUAAAGGGUGCGUAGGCGGACGCUUAAGUCAGCGGUAAAAUUGCGGGGCUCAACCUCGUCGAGCCGUUGAAACUGGGUGCCUUGAGUGGGCGAGAAGUACGCGGAAUGCGUGGUGUAGCGGUGAAAUGCAUAGAUAUCACGCAGAACUCCGAUUGCGAAGGCAGCGUACCGGCGCCCAACUGACGCUGAAGCACGAAGGCGUGGGUAUCGAACAGGAUUAGAUACCCCUGUAGUC
This 438-nucleotide ribosomal RNA is filed under the name uncultured bacterium. RNAcentral's name for it is "partial 16S ribosomal RNA". It matches the Rfam family "Bacterial small subunit ribosomal RNA", at positions 339 to 795 of the family's 1533-position model. The record is from RNAcentral.